RNAcentral lists this ribosomal RNA (492 nucleotides) under uncultured bacterium. Its description in RNAcentral is "partial 16S ribosomal RNA". It matches the Rfam family "Bacterial small subunit ribosomal RNA", at positions 30 to 507 of the family's 1533-position model. The record is from RNAcentral.
AUUGAACGCUGGCGGUAGGCCUAACACAUGCAAGUCGAACGGCAGCACAGUGAUAGCUUGCUCUUACGGCGGGCGACUGGCGGACGAUUCAUGGGAACAUCCCAGUCUACUGUUUAUUAGGUCAUAACGUAGGCGCUCUUACCGCAUUAGCGCAGAGGACCUACGUGUGAAAGCAUCGGACCUUCCGAUAUUGCACGAUUCUAUGACGCGAUGUCGGAUUAGCUAGUUGGCGGGGUAAAGGCCCACCAAGGCGACGAUCCGUAGCUGGUCUGAGAGGAUGAUCAGCCACACUGGAACUGAGACACGGUCCAGACUCCUACGGGAGGCAGCAGUGGGGAAUAUUGGACAAAGGGCGCAAGCCUGAUCCAGCCAUACCGCGUGGGUGAAGAAGGCCUUCGGGUUGUAAAGCACUUUAGUUUGGGAAGAAGAGCAGUAAGUUAAUACCUAGCUGUUCUGACGGUACCAAAAGAAUAAGCACCGGCUAACUUCGUG